Molecule: ribosomal RNA, 205 nt
Filed under: uncultured bacterium
Lineage: Bacteria
Description: partial 16S ribosomal RNA
Rfam family: Bacterial small subunit ribosomal RNA
Source: RNAcentral
GAUUGUAGGCUGCAACUCGCCUACAUGAAGUUGGAAUCGCUAGUAAUCGUGAAUCAGAAUGUCGCGGUGAAUACGUUCCCGGGUCUUGUACACACCGCCCGUCACACCACGAGAGUUUACAACACCCGAAGUCAGUGGCCUAACCGCAAGGAGGGAGCUGCCUAAGGUGGGGUAGAUGAUUGGGGUGAAGUCGUAACAAGGUAGC